RNAcentral lists this ribosomal RNA (253 nucleotides) under uncultured bacterium. RNAcentral's name for it is "partial 16S ribosomal RNA". It matches the Rfam family "Bacterial small subunit ribosomal RNA", at positions 524 to 776 of the family's 1533-position model. The record is from RNAcentral.
UACGGAGGGGGCAAGCGUUAUUCGGAAUUAUUGGGCGUAAAGGGCGCGUAGGCGGCUAGAUGUGUCAAAGGUGAAAUCCCUCGGCUCAACUGAGGAACUGCCUUUGAAACUGUCUGGCUUGAGGCCGGGAGAGGGUAGCGGAAUUCCCAGUGUAGCGGUGAAAUGCGUAGAUAUUCGGAAGAACACCAGUGGCGAAGGCGGCUCACUGGCCCGGUACUGACGCUGAUGUGCGAAAGCGUGGGGAGCAAACAGG